This 427-nucleotide ribosomal RNA is filed under the name Bacillus cereus. RNAcentral describes it as "partial 16S ribosomal RNA". The record is from RNAcentral. Lineage: Bacteria; Bacillati; Bacillota; Bacilli; Caryophanales; Bacillaceae.
GCAAGUACGAACGGUGAACAGGUAAUGCAGCUUGCUAGCUUGUCGCUGACGAGUGGCGGACGAGGUGACGUAAGUGUCUGGGACAACUGCUCUGAUGGAGGGGGAUACACUACUGCGAAAUCGGUAGCUAGAUCACCGUCAUAAUCGUCGCAAGACCAGAAGAGUGGGGACCUUCGGGUCCUCUCUGACCAUCGUGAUGUGCCCAGCAUGGGAAUUAGCUAUGUAGGUGGGGUAACGGCUCAGCCUGAGGCGACGAUCCUCUAGUCUGGUCUGAGAGGAUGCACCAGCCACAGCUGGCAACUCGAGCACACGGGUCCCAGCACUCCUAACGGGGCAGUGCAGUCAGUGGCGGGAACCGGCCCGGGCGAUGCCGUGGCUGCAGGCGGGGACGGCGGCGCGCGGCGGCGCGCGCGCCGGGGGGGGCGCG